RNAcentral lists this long non-coding RNA (7088 nucleotides) under Nicotiana tabacum (common tobacco). RNAcentral's name for it is "long non-coding RNA (NTAB_LNC003681)". Lineage: Eukaryota; Viridiplantae; Streptophyta; Magnoliopsida; Solanales; Solanaceae. The record is from RNAcentral.
GUUAUGUAUUUUAUAGUAUAGAUUUUACAUUAUUUAUAGGAAAAUAAUUAAGAUUUUGGAUUGGAAAGACCCAUUUUCAAAUAACCCAAAACAUUGAGCCCAAUACCCUUUACACCCAAAUUAAAAUCUUUUAAGACCCCUAAUUCCUUACCAUAGAGAUGAGUAGCUAACACACAAAAAAGAAUUCCACCAGUUUCAAUCCCUGGACAGCCGCAUCACCUAUCGAUGGCAAAUCACAAAUAGGAUUUUUAAUGAAAAAGCUUCGGUGGCUCAUCCCCUAACCCCUCAAUUUCCUGAUAGGCACAUCAUCAUCACCAUCUUUGAUGUUUGAAGUAUUGCCAUAUUGGAUUGAUAAAAGGACAAGACAAACGUCUGGACAAGGCAAACUUCUUCUUGUUUUAUCAAAAAUCCAUCUAUUCUUUGGUCAGAAAAAGAUCUCCUCUUUACAUAACACACAUACAUAUUUGAAUCUUCAAUUGGCCAUUGAAACACACAGCAUCGACGUAAGCAACGCCGACGCAAAAUGGGUCAGCUUGGAUCGUAGAGUAGAGAUGGGAGGUUUAAUAGUGCAGGGGAUUCCCUCGUAGCCUUUCACCUCCUCUCUCAUUUUCUGGUGUCGAUUGGGGUUCGAGGUUCCGCUCGAGAAAUGUGCUCAUAGGUCCGAUUGGUAGUAGCUCGUUUCAUUUUUGGGAAAGUUCUUUUUGAGGUCCAGUUUCCAUUCUCUCUUUGUUGUUUCUUGCAAAAGUAUAUUUUGGUUGGAAUAAUACUUGAAUUUUGAAUAAAUACAUGAUAUUUGCUUUAGUUUUAAAAUUUCCCUUUGAUGUAUUUUUCUCCCAUUUUCCAAUUCUACGUUUUGUGCUUUCCCUUGGGCAUAUUUUGAUGUUGUAGUUUCAAGAUUUUGUGAUUGAAUCAUAAAGCAUGAAUUUAAGUUGUGAAUGAAUUAUGAAACUGUUAAUUCUCAUGAACGGAUGAUCCUUGAUUGUUAUUUUCAUUAAUUAUUUUAUUGUAAUAAAUGAAUAUUCGUAAAAUGCUUUGGGCGUGUUCUAAUAUAUUAUCGUAAUUGUGUACACGUUCACGUGACAUAAUUAUGACUUCCAAAUUAAAACCAAGGUAUGCGUUUGUGCAACUUUGGCCAAACUUUAUUAAUAAUUAAUAAUGUGUUAUUAAUUAUGCACACGUACGCGUGACAUGAUUUUGACACGCCAAACAAAAUGAGUUCAUGUACGCGUGACUCGUUUUAAGAUAAUUUCAUAAUUACGAAUAAUCGAGUAAUUAAAAAUAGUAGAAGGUAAAAAUGUACGUAAGUUCUAAAAUGAGUAAUUAGACCAAUUAAUUAAGCCAAGUAUAAUUAUUAAAGCGACCGUGCUCAAACCACGAAAUUCGGGAAUGCCUAACACCUUCUCUCGGGUUAACAAAAUUCCUUACCCAGUCUUCUGUGCUCGCAGACCAUAAAUAGAGUCAAAUUUCCUCGACUUAGGAUUUAAAAUAAAUCGGUGACUUGGGACACCAUAAAUUAUCCCAAGUGGUGACUCUGAAUAAAUAAAUAAUCCCAUUUCGAUUAUUGUCACUUAAAUUGGAAAAACUCUCUUAUAUCCCGUUUCGGGUAAAAAGGAGUGUGACUCAUAUCACACCAUUCUUGAUUGUCAUGCCAAGACUGUUACUUUAGUGAUGCCAGAGUUGUCGAGAUUGAAGUGGAAUGGUUCCUCCGUUAGUGCAUCCAGUCGGGUUAUCUCUUUUCUGAAGGCUCGACACCUGGUCGACAAGGGUUAUUUGGCGUAUCUAGCAUAUAUUUGGGACACCAUCGUAGAGUCUGCAACGAUUGAUUCAGUGCCAGUAGUCCAGGAGUUCGCCGAUGUAUUUCCUUCUCACCUUCCAGGCAUGCCGCUGGAUUGUGACAUUGAUUUUUGUAUUGAUUUGGCUCCAGGUACCCAGCCUAUAUCUAUUUUACCGUACCGUAUGGCACCGAAAGAGUUGAAGGAGCAACUUGAGGAAUUGUUAGAAACGGGGUUUGUGAGGCCCAGUGUAUCACCUUGGGGUGAACCAAUGCUAUUUAUGAAGAAGAAAGAUGAGACUAUGCGGAUGUGCAUUGAUUACCACCAGUUGAACAAGGCUACCAUAAAAAACAAAUACCCUUUGCCGCGCAUUGAUGAUUUUUUCGACCAGUUGCAUGGUGCUAGGGUGUUCUCUAAGAUCGACUUGAGAUCAGGGUAUCAUCAGCUGAAGAUUCGAGACUCAGAUGUCCCGAAGACUGUUUUCCAUACUAGAGAUGGCCACUACGAGUUUCUGGUGAUGUUCUUUGGCUUGACUAAUGGUCCAGCGGCGUUUAUGGACUUGGUGAACAAGGUGUUCAGGCCUUAUAUUGAUUCCUUUGUUAUUGUCUUCACUGAUGACAUCUUGCUAUACUCACGUAGACUGGGGGAGCACGAGCAACAUUCGAGAGCAGUGCUUCAGACCUUGCAAGAGUAGAAGCAAUAUGCUAAGUUCUCCAAGUAUGAGUUUUGGCUAGAGUCAGUAGCAUUCUUGGGGCAUAUUAUAUUAGGAGAGGGUAUUAAGGUGGAUCCCAAGAAGAUUAAGGCAGUUCAGAGAUGGCCACGUCCUAUUUCAGUGACUGAGAUCAUGAGCUUCCUAGGGUUAGCAGGUUAUUACCACCGAUUUGUGCAGUGCUUUUAAUUUGUUGCAUCACCUUUGACUAAAUUGAGCCAGAAGGGUGCUCCCUUCCGUUGGUCCGAUGAUUGUGAGGUGAGCUUUUAGAAGCUCAAGACAACUUUGACUAUAGCACCGCUCCUAGUGUUGCCUUCCGGUUCGGGGAUGUAUAUGGUAUAUUGCAACACUUCACGCAUUGUUUUGGGAUGUGUAUAUAUGUAGGAGGGGCGAGUUAUUACAUAUGCUUCACGUCAGCUGAAGAUUCAUGAGAAGAACUACCCAGUGCACGACCUAGAGUUAGCAACAAUUGUUCAUGCUCUUAAGAUAUGGAGGCAUUAUCUGUAUGUGGUGUUAUGUGAGGUUUAUAUUGAUCAUCAUAGCUUGCAGCAUUUGUUCAAGCAAAGGGAUCUCAAUUUGAGGCAGCGUAGAUGACUUGAGUUGCUAAAGGAUUAUGACAUCACCAUUCUUUAUCAUCCGGGCAAGGCAAACGUGGUCGCAGAUGCCUUGAGUAGGAAAGUAGAGAGUAUGGGUAGCUUGGCAUUCAUACUAGCAGAGGAGAGGCCACUAGCUUUGGACAUUCAGUCCUUGGCUAACAGACUUGUGAGGUUGGAUAUUUUAGAGCCCAGCCGAGUCCUUGCGUGUGUUGUUGCUCAGUCUUCACUAUUGGGGCAGAUCAAGGCACGGUAGUUCGAUGAUCUACAUUUGGCAGUUCUCAAAGAGACGAUGCUACAGGAUAGUGCCAAGGAGGUUUCUAUUGGCGAGGAUGGUGUUCUGCGACUCUAGGGUCGCCUAUGUGUUCCUAAUGUCGAUGGCUUGAGGGGGAGGAUUCUAGAGGAGGUACACAGUUCACGAUAUUCCAUUCAUCCAGGUGCUACGAAGAUGUAUCAUGACCUGAGGUAGCAUUAUUGGUGGCGGUGGAUGAAGAAAAAUAUAGUUGAGUAUGUGGCUAGGUGUUUGAAUUGCCAGCAGGUUUAAUAUGAGCACCAGAGGCCAGGUGGCCUAUUUCAGCAGAUGCCUAUACCUGAGUGGAAGUGGGAGCGCAUUACUAUGGACUUCGUAGUUGGGUUGCCGCGGAUAUUACGGAAGUAUGAUGCAGUUUGGGUCAUUGUUGACAGGUUGACCAAGUUGUCACACUUCAUUCCGGUUAUGACUACUUAUACUUCAAAGAGGUUGGAUCAGAUAUACAUUCGGGAGAUAGUUCGGUUUCACGUCAUUCCUGUUUCCAUCAGAUCAGAUAGACACCCUCAGUUCACUUCCCAUUUUUGGAGAGCCAUACAGAGUGAGUUGGGAACUUGGGUAGAGCUCAGUACAACAUUCCACCCACAGACCGACGGGCAGUCGAAGCGGAGAGUUUAGAUUCUGGAGGACAUGCUUAGAGCAUGUGUGAUUGACUUUAGAGGGCAGUGGAAUCAGUUCUUGCCUUUGGCCGAAUUUGCUUACAACAAUAGUUAUCAGUCCAGCAUCGAGAUGACUCCAUUUGAGGCUUUAUAUGGUCGGCGAUGCCAUUCUCCUAUUAGGUGGUUUGAGUCUGGCAAGGCUAAGAUACAUGGUACAGAUUUGGUGAAAGAUGCCUUGGAAAGGGUAACGUUGAUUCAGGAAAGACUUUGCAUAGCUCAAUCCAGAUAGAAGAGUUACGCGGAUCAGAAGGCACGUGAUGUAUCAUUCAUGGUCGGCGAGAAUGUUCUCUUGAAAGUCUCACCGAUGAAGAGUAUUAUGAGAUUCGGGAAGAAGGGCAAGUUGAGCCCAAGGUUUAUAGGCCCAUUUGAGGCGUUGAGGCGAGAUGGAGAGGUUGCUUAUGAGCUUGCUUUAGCCCCAGCUUAUCGGGAGUUCAUCCAGUUUUUCAUGUGUCUAUGCUUCGGAGGUAUCACACCGACUUAUUUCAUGUGUUAGACUUCAGUACUAUUCAGCUAGACGAAAGCUUAGGUUAUGAGGAGGAGCCAGUUGCCAUUGUUGAUAGACAUGAUCGCCAAUUGAGAUCCAAGAGGAUUUCUGCAGUAAAGGCCCAAUGGAGGUGCCAACCAGUCGAGGAAGCGACCUGGGAGUCCGAUGAGGACAUGCAAAACAGAUAUCCACACUUAUUUAGCACUUCAGGUAUGAAUCUAAACCCGUUCGAGGAUGAAUGUUUGUUUAAGAGUUGGAGAAUGUAACGACUCGAAUGGUCGUUUUGUUUUCUAGAACACAUUCCCCUGAAUAAGACUUUUCGUUCUUGCUUUAACAUAUUUAUGACUUGCGGGGAUGGUUGGUUCAGGAUUUGGAAGAGUUUGGGUUGAAAUCGGAACACUUGGUUCUUUAAGGUUGGCUUAAAAGGCCAAGUUUGACUUCAGUCAACGUUUUGAGUAAACGACCUCAAAAUUCGGAUUUGAAGGUUCCAACAGGUCCGUAUGAUGAUUACGAACUUGGGUGUAUGUCCGGAUCGGGUUUUGGAUGACCCGUGAGCAUUUUGACGCCUAAUAGUGAAAGUUGAUCCCUUAAGGAUUUUGAAGUUCUUAAAUAUUUGGUUUGGAGCGGGAUUUUGUGUUAUUGAGGUUCGAACAGAAUUUUGGGACCGGAAAUAGAUCCUUAUUGUCAUUUUAGACUUGCACGCAAAAUUCGGUGUCAAUCCAGGUAAUAUAAGUGUGUUUCGUCACAUUGGAAAUAGAUUGAAGAACUUGAAGUUCAUAAGUUUUAUUCAAUUGGUUUUAUGGGGGUUAAAUUUUAGAUUUAGCAUUGUUUCAGGCGUUUCGAGGGUUCAAACGAGUCUGUUUUAUCAUUUCAAACUUAUAGGUAUGUUCGGGCGGGGCCCCGAAUCGGACGAGGCUCGAGCUUAGUAAGUAAAUGUGGAAAAGGGCUGAAGCUUCAGGCUUCUGUCAUAACCGCACCUGCGAUUGGCUAGCCGCAGGUGCGAGCCCGCAGAAGCACCUAGACCAUCGCAGAUGUGUCCACGGGUGGCCAUCCCAGGAGCCGCAGAGGCGGCCUAUCUUCUACAGAAGCGGAUUGUGUCUCGCAGAAGCGGCCCAGCCGGCCAAGGUAAAUUUUGCAAAAGCGAACUCAUUUCUGCAGAUGCGGUGGGAAAAGGUGCGGCCGGCCCAAGACCGCAGAUGCGAUAAUCGCUGAAGGCAGUAACCUUCAUUUAUUACGGGUGUUAGCCAUUUUUGGCUCAUUUUUACUCAAAGGUUGGGCGAUUUUGGAGCUCUUGAGAGAGGAAUUUUAUUACGAGCUCUUACUCGUGGGCCCGGGGUUGAAUUUUAGGAACCUUUCCCUUGGGGUUGGACAAUUGCUUUAAUAGCUAGAAGAUAAAUUUUUAAGCCUAUAAUAAUGAACUUUUACACUAUUUGAACAGUUUCGAUUUGUGUGGCUCCGGUUUGAGAGUUUGGACUAAUUCUUGAGUUGGAAGUCGGCUUGAAACGAGGUAAGUCUCUUUUCUAAUCUUUUAGGGAAAAUGUCCUCAUAGGUGUAUUUAAUUAAUAUAUGAUUAAUUAUGGGGGCUACCUAUGCACGAGGUGACGAGAGUCCGAAUGUAGCUACUAUUCCUGUUAUGUCCGGGUAGUUCUAGGAUCACAUCAUGCUUCGUGGUCGCUAUUAAUUCCUUAUAUAUGCUAAUGGUAUGAAAGGAAGUAAGUUGAAGAAAAUCUAAGGAUUUAUGGGAUUCAAUGAAUUGCAUUCAUUUUUAUAAAAAGGGAAUUAAAGAAUUGUUGUGUUUAAAUGAUGAAAAUUUUGUUUACCGCGUCGCACUUAUGAUUCGCGAGCGGGGUUAUUCUUUUACCGCGUCGUAUGUAUGAUUCACGAGUGGGGUGUAUAGAUGCAUCUAUGGUUCGUGUCGUUCGACCCUCGGCAGUGCAUAUUUUACUUUUAUGUUGGAUCGACCCAAUCGUCCUUGGUGGUAUUUGUUGGUGAUAAUAGAACCGUAACCCUUAUAAUUUAUAUUACUUAUUGUUGGAAAGGUCACUAAUUUAAAUGAGGAAGUGCUUAGUUUUAUUAAUUGGAUGAAAGGAUUUUCAAUAAUUAUUCUUGUUUGAGCUUGUUAUUAUCUACAUACACUGUGAAUGAAAUAUGUUGAACUUCAUAUUAUUAUAUUUGCUAGCUUAGUAAGUAUCGAAGUCGACCCCUCGUUACUACUUUUGCGAGGUUAGGCGAGAUACUUACUGACUACAUAUUUUUAUGUAUUCAUGCUACGCUUCUGUACUUGAUUGUACAGGCUUUGAGGCAGGUGCAUCUGGCCAUCAGUCUGGCGCAUAGAGUGGUCAUCUCAGCUCGAGACUUUCCGGUGAGCUGCCCUUCCCAACCGAUCUGCAGUAGGUGGAGUCUCUCUUUUGUCUUUAUGUUCCUGUCUAUUUCUUUUUCCAGACAGUAGGAUAGCAUGGUUUUGUAUAUUCUACUAGGUUACCCACACACUUGUGACACCAGGUCUUAGCACACACAUUAGUAGAAUUAUGAUGUUUUGGCUUGUCUUCAUGAUUGAGAUUCGC